UGUUUGUGUGUGUGUGUGUGUACACAUACAUACACAAACACACAUAUAUGUAUAAAUACACAUAUACACACAUACAUAUA
Molecule: non-coding RNA, 80 nt
Organism: Podarcis lilfordi (Lilford's wall lizard)
Lineage: Eukaryota; Metazoa; Chordata; Lepidosauria; Squamata; Lacertidae
Source: the annotation of a GenBank genome assembly